Molecule: ribosomal RNA, 255 nt
Filed under: Calcidiscus leptoporus
Lineage: Eukaryota; Haptophyta; Coccolithales; Calcidiscaceae
Description: partial large subunit ribosomal RNA
Rfam family: Eukaryotic large subunit ribosomal RNA
Source: RNAcentral
CCUUGGAACAGGGUAUCGGAGAAGGUGAGAAUCCUGUGCCGUGGCGUGGAGCGGCCGCACGAUGCGUCCUUGUCGAGUCGGGUUGCUUGGGAUUGCAGCUUGAAGUGGGUGGUAAAUUCCAUCUAAAGCUAAAUACGGGCGAGAGACCGAUAGCGAACAAGUACCGUGAGGGAAAGAUGCAAAGAACUUUGAAAAGAGAGUCAAAGAGUGCUUGAAAUUGGCAGGAGGAAACCCGGUUGCGCCCCGCGUCGCCUU